This 293-nucleotide ribosomal RNA is filed under the name uncultured bacterium. RNAcentral's name for it is "partial 16S ribosomal RNA". It matches the Rfam family "Bacterial small subunit ribosomal RNA", at positions 505 to 796 of the family's 1533-position model. The record is from RNAcentral.
GUGUCAGCAGCCGCGGUAAGACGUAGGGUCCAAGCGUUGUCCGGAUUUACUGGGCGUAAAGAGCGCGUAGGCGGCUCGUUAAGUGUGAAGUGAAAUCUCCAGGGCUCAACCCGGAAACUGCUUUACAUACUGGCGAGCUGGAGUGAUGAAGAGGUUUGUGGAAUUCCUGGUGUAGCGGUGAAAUGCGUUGAUAUCAGGAGGAACACCCAUGGCGAAGGCAGCAAACUGGUCAUCAACUGACGCUGAGGCGCGAAAGCGUGGGUAGCAAACAGGAUUAGAAACCCCCGUAGUCC